Molecule: unclassified non-coding RNA, 1547 nt
Filed under: Dendroctonus ponderosae (mountain pine beetle)
Lineage: Eukaryota; Metazoa; Arthropoda; Insecta; Coleoptera; Curculionidae
Description: serine/arginine-rich splicing factor 2, transcript variant X1
Source: RNAcentral
UGCAAGCCACCCCUCUCCAUCCAAAAAAAACGUCGAGUUGUCUCUGGUCGCCAUUUUAUAUUCUGACUUUCAACAGUACAGUAUUGUUGAAUUUACGAUUCGGUUUUGAACCGUAACUUUUUUUCUUUAACUGUUUCAAUUAGAGUGGAAUCAUUUCGACCUCACACGAAAUGAGUUACGGCAGGCCUCCGCCUCGCAUCGAGGGCAUGGUCUCUCUUAAGGUGGAUAAUCUGACCUAUCGGACGACUCCCGACGAUUUAAGACGCGUGUUCGAACGUUGUGGGGAAGUUGGAGAUAUUUACAUACCACGCGACCGAUUCACCAGGGAAAGCAGAGGCUUUGCUUUUGUCAGGUUUUACGACAAGCGUGAUGCUGAAGAUGCGUUAGAUGCCAUGGACGGUCGCAUGCUGGAUGGAAGGGAGCUGAGAGUUCAGAUGGCUCGUUAUGGCAGGCCUACUUCGCCACAUCGACGUUACCGUGGGGGCAGAAGAAGAUCGCGUUCAAGGUCUCGUGGAAGACGCGAUAGUAGGUCUCGCUCCAGAGGGCGGAGAUCAGCAAGCAGAAGCCGAUCGAGGUCGGGCAGCAAGAGCUCAAGGGGAGCCUCCCGGUCUCCAGCUAGAGGUGAGAGGGACAACUCGAGAUCAAGAAGCAAAUCCCGCUCCAGGUCUAGGUCAUAAAUUUUGUCUGAGUCGGGGAGAGAGUCCGGUAGCCUGUAAGCAGCUCCUGCUCUCUGGCAAGGCGCAGAGUUGGGGUUUUGCGGUAAGAUGUUGGCAGUUGGUGUUUGAGGGAGCGGAGAUAUGGUGGCGAGAGAGAGAGUAGCUGAAAAACGAGAGCGAUCUAGAAAGCGGUAGCGGAACGAGCCUGCGUGACAUUGGCUGGAUGAAGGCGCUGUCUGGCCAGCCAAUCGAAUCGCAUCGUUUGGUGCCGUUCCUGACACAUCUAUGUGCAGCUCCUGCUCUCGAGUCUCUAGCCCCCCGAACGAGCAUUCCGGUGUUUCGCUUAAAUCGAGACAAUGGCUUGGUUGAAGGUCGAGCACAAGUUUCACGAAAGUAUUGCAAAUCUUUUUAGUUACGCAUUUCAUUUAACAAUUGCAUACCUACAACGGAAUGUCAUCAGGUAAGUUUCUUCGCUGAGCUGAAUGUUUUUAUUCUGUAAUUUAAAAAAAUUCUGCUACUGAAAAUUGAAAUGCGUGUUCACUUUAAACAAGCCAUGCCGUGAUUGGUUAAGGUAAAAGUUGCCAAUUUCAAGACGUAUAAAUAUAUUUAUUCCAGGAGGCCCUAGGUAGGUAUGUUUUUAUUAUUUGUAAAAACGCCCUAAAUGUACUUUAACAAAAGGACUGUUGAAGAUCAAACGCCUUUAACUAGCCAUCUUUGCGUUGAGUCAGGACCAACGAUCAGGCAUUCAUUUCAAGACCACAAGGAGUUUAUGGGCGGAAUUUUUAUAUUUUCUAAUUAUCACAACUCUUUCAGCCUACUAGUUCGUCUGGAUCGGCCCUUGGUAAUAUUUUGUAUAUACUGGUGUCGAGUGAAUAAAUCUUUUCCUGAUCA